GAUGAACGCUGGCGGCGUGCCUAAUACAUGCAAGUCGAGCGAACGGACGAGAAGCUUGCUUCUCUGAUGUUAGCGGCGGACGGGUGAGUAACACGUGGAUAACCUACCUAUAAGACUGGGAUAACUUCGGGAAACCGUAGCUAAUACCGGAUAAUAUUUUGGACCGCAUGGUUCAAAAGUGAAAGACGGUCUUGCUGUCACUUAUAGAUGGAUCCGCGCUGCAUUAGCUAGUUGGUAAGGUAACGGCUUACCAAGGCAACGAUGCAUAGCCGACCUGAGAGGGUGAUCGGCCACACUGGAACUGAGACACGGUCCAGACUCCUACGGGAGGCAGCAGUAGGGAAUCUUCCGCAAUGGGCGAAAGCCUGACGGAGCAACGCCGCGUGAGUGAUGAGGGUCUUCGGAUCGUAAAACUCUGUUAUUAGGGAAGAACAUAUGUGUAAGUAACUGUGCACAUCUUGACGGUACCUAAUCAGAAAGCCACGGCUAACUACGUG
This 497-nucleotide ribosomal RNA is filed under the name uncultured bacterium. RNAcentral's name for it is "partial 16S ribosomal RNA". It matches the Rfam family "Bacterial small subunit ribosomal RNA", at positions 28 to 507 of the family's 1533-position model. The record is from RNAcentral.